The submitters of this non-coding RNA (77 nucleotides) gave its source as unclassified sequences. The record is from Rfam.
GGUAGCUUGCUUAGAAGUUGCCGCGCCGGAUAGUGUUAAUAGUCGUGCCUUUGGCCGGACACGAUGGUUAGGGAAUC